This 1480-nucleotide long non-coding RNA is filed under the name Macaca fascicularis (crab-eating macaque). RNAcentral describes it as "lncRNA (ENSMFAG00000049475.1)". Lineage: Eukaryota; Metazoa; Chordata; Mammalia; Primates; Cercopithecidae. The record is from RNAcentral.
UCCUGCCUCAGCCUCCUGUACAUUGUAUUGGUUUUUAUAAGUAGUCUAGAGAUGGUUUAAAGUAUGUGGAGGGAUGUGCAUAGGUGAUAUGUAAAUAUCAUACCAUUUUAUAGAAGGGAUGUGUGCAUCUGAGGAUUUGGGUAUCUGUGGGGCAGAAGGAGGUGUGUCCUAGAAUCAGUCCCCUUCAGUUACUGAGGGACAGCUGCAUAUCUUUUUCCAUUCCUUUACUUUUAACCUAUUUGUGUCUUUAUAUUUAAAGUGGAUUUCUCAUAAGCAGCAGAUAGCUGGGUCCUGCUCUUUUAUUCAGCCUGAUUUAAUUGGCAUAUUCAACCAAUUUGCUAUUGAUAACUGGCUAUGCUUAUGUUUAACCUCUUGCUGUUGUUUUCUGUUAGUCCCAUAUAGCCUUUGUUCCCUUUUCUCUCUUUUUCUGCCUCCUUUUGGAUUAACUGAAUAUUUUUAAGGAUUCAGUUUCAUCUCUUCUGUUGACUUAUUAGCUAAAAAUCCAUUGUUUUGUUAUUUUAGCUGUUGCUGUAGGGCUCAUAGCAUACAUUCUUAAUCAUCACAGUUUGUCUUCAGUUUACUAAACCGCUUCACAUAUAGUACAGGAACUUCAAAAUAGCACACUUAGAUCACUCCCUUCCUGGCCUUUAUGCCAUUGCGGCCAUACAUGCUAAUUGUGCAUUUGUUCUAAACCUCACAAUACACUGUUACUAUUUUUGUUUAGGCAGUUAGUGAUCUUGUAAAUGAAAAUCAUAUACACUUCACCAUGUAAGUACCAUUUCUGGUGCCCUUCAUUCCUCUAUGUAGACCCACACUUCCAUCUCAUAUUCUUUUCCUUUUGCCUGAAGGACUUCCUUUAACAUGUCUUGUAGUGCAAGUCUGCUAGGAUUAAAAUCUUUUAGCUUUUCUGUGUCUGAAGAGAAGUCUUUAUUUUUCAGUUUUAUUUUCGAAGGAUAUUUUUACUUAGUAUAGAAUUCUCAGGUGAUAGUUUUUUCUUUCAUGACGGUAAAGCUAUGAUUCCACCGUCUUCUUGCUUGUGUUGUUUCUAAUAAGAAACCUGCUGUCACUCUUGUCUGUUCCACUGUACCUAAAUGUGUCUUUAUGCCCUGGCUACUUCUAGCAUUUUCUUUUGAUCACUGCUUUGAGGAAUUUGAUUAUGAUGUGCCUUGGUAUAAUUCUUUUUUUUUUUUCCAUGUUUCUGGUGCUUGGCAUUCCUUGAGCUUCUGGAACCUGUGGAUUUAUAUUUUUAAAAUUAAAAUUGGUAAAUUUCUGGCGAUUAUUUAUAAAAAACGUUUUUGGUUUUCCCCCCAUUCCUGUGAGAAUUCUAAUUACACAUGUAUUAGGCUGCUUGACAUUGUCAAACAGAUCACCGGCACUUUCAUUUUAUUUAAUUCUUUCUUUUUCUCUGUCUUUCAUUUUGGAUAGUUCCUAUACUAUGUGUUUAUGAAUCUUCUCUUUUUUUGCCAUACAUAAUUUGCCU